This 497-nucleotide ribosomal RNA is filed under the name uncultured bacterium. RNAcentral describes it as "partial 16S ribosomal RNA". It matches the Rfam family "Bacterial small subunit ribosomal RNA", at positions 28 to 507 of the family's 1533-position model. The record is from RNAcentral.
GAUGAACGCUGGCGGCGUGCCUAAUACAUGCAAGUCGAGCGAACGGACGAGAAGCUUGCUUCUCUGAUGUUAGCGGCGGACGGGUGAGUAACACGUGGAUAACCUACCUAUAAGACUGGGAUAACUUCGGGAAACCGGAGCUAAUACCGGAUAAUAUUUUGAACCGCAUGGUUCAAUAGUGAAAGACGGUCUUGCUGUCACUUCUAGAUGGAUCCGCGCUGCAUUAGCUAGUUGGUAAGGUAACGGCUUACCAAGGCAACGAUGCAUAGCCGACCUGAGAGGGUGAUCGGCCACCCUGGAACUGAGACACGGUCCAGACUCCUACGGGAGGCAGCAGUAGGGAAUCUUCCGCAAUGGGCGAAAGCCUGACGGAGCAACGCCGCGUGAGUGAUGAAGGUCUUCGGAUCGUAAAACUCUGUUAUUAGGGAAGAACAUAUGUGUAAGUAACUGUGCACAUCUUGACGGUACCUAAUCAGAAAGCCACGGCUAACUACGUG